This 253-nucleotide ribosomal RNA is filed under the name uncultured bacterium. Its description in RNAcentral is "partial 16S ribosomal RNA". It matches the Rfam family "Bacterial small subunit ribosomal RNA", at positions 524 to 776 of the family's 1533-position model. The record is from RNAcentral.
UACGUAGGGACCGAGCGUUGUCCGGAUUCAUUGGGCGUAAAGAGCUCGUAGGCGGCCACUCAAGUCGAAUGUGAAACCUCGAGGCUUAACCUCGAGCCUGCAUUCGAUACUGGGCGGCUAGAGUCUGGUAGGGGGAUCUGGAAUUCCUGGUGUAGCGGUGGAAUGCGCAGAUAUCAGGAAGAACACCCGUGGCGAAGGCGGCUCUCUGGGACGGUACUGACGCUGAGACGCGAAAGCGUGGGGAGCGAACAGG